Molecule: long non-coding RNA, 1234 nt
Filed under: Mytilus galloprovincialis (Mediterranean mussel)
Lineage: Eukaryota; Metazoa; Mollusca; Bivalvia; Mytilida; Mytilidae
Source: RNAcentral
UUAAAGUCAUAAGAAACCUCAAAUUAAAAAAAAUAAUGCAUAUAUGUUUUUAUAAACUCAAUGGAUAGUUUUCAUUAUUAAACUUAUGUACAUAUACUUUUUUCUGAAGAAAAUUCUUUAAUUUGUUCAUAUUAAGAAGAAGUUUACAUUAUUCUAAUUGUUUCCUUCCAGGAAGCAAUUCCCCGACAUAUUUUCCGUAUGCAAAGUGACCUCCGUGUGACCCAUCUCGUAAAAAUCCGGUGAUCGCAGUAUGCGUGGAUGUCCUUAAAAUAAACUAUUACCCGAUUGUACAUGUUAAAAACGUGCUCAAUAUCCAUGCUUUUUGGUGGAUUGUUGACAAACAGGUGACAAUCGUUAAACUUCGGCUUCAAAACACGAACUUUAAUUACCUGCUAUAUUUUCACAAGACUAACCGAUUGAAAAAAAAUUGACGAUUAUACGAAAUUUAUGCGAAAAAAAUGAUAAAAUCGUGCACAGAAGACUUAAGUUUAUGACGGUUGUAUGCAUUGGUUCAAGAAUUGGAAUAACAUUAUUUUUCACCGGUCACUUGUUUAUUAUGACUUUAAAUAGAAUUACAGAAUCUAAAAAAGUCUGAGCCUCACGCUCGCCAGCAUGCUUACUUCGUUUAAUGUUCCAGUUUUGUAAGAUCCAUAAUUCAUUGCAAUUUAAUACAACAUUUUUUGGUAAGGGCUGUUUGACUGAUCCUCGAGAACGGAUAAUUACAUUGUUUUCGAUUUUUCUUUUUGUUUUUUUUUUUGUUCACUUCCAAUAAAUUUUAAAUAUAUGCUCCAAAAUAGAUGAUAGAUAGGCAUUUUUUUAUAUUUUGUUUGACAGUUUGGGCUUAUCAAUGUCUUUUCUCUCUUAAAUCUAUUUUUACAAUUUACUACUGGUACAUCAAUUAGAUAUCAGUACCGGUACCACAUAUCUACUAAACCAAAUACAUGUAUAACCCACAUGUUAUGUCAUCCUAUCUACUAUUUAUUAUCUUAGAUAUCAAAAGUUUAACAAAGAAAGUAACCCCCCCCCUGUUUGGUUUUAAACAGACAUUAGUUAAAAUAUUGAUAUUCAGGAAUGUAUCAUUUGUGCAGUACAGUAGUACAAUGACAGAUUUGGGAGGAGGGGUGUAUUGUUGUCAUACAUAUGUCAUUGGUCCAGACAAAUCAUUUAUCGUGUCAAAAUCAUGAUACAGAAGGAAAUUUCCAGAUGCACGAUCAGAAUUUUACAGAAAAUAUUU